This 496-nucleotide ribosomal RNA is filed under the name uncultured bacterium. Its description in RNAcentral is "partial 16S ribosomal RNA". It matches the Rfam family "Bacterial small subunit ribosomal RNA", at positions 28 to 506 of the family's 1533-position model. The record is from RNAcentral.
GAUGAACGCUGGCGGCGUGCCUAAUACAUGCAAGUCGAGCGAACGGACGAGAAGCUUGCGUCUCUGAUGUUAGCGGCGGACGGGUGAGUAACACGUGGAUAACCUACCUAUAAGACUGGGAUAACUUCGGGAAACCGGAGCUUAUACCGGAUAAUAUUUUGAACCGCAUGGUUCAAUAGAGAAAUACGGUGUUGGUGUCACUAAUAGAUGGAUCCGCGCUGUAUUAGCUAGUUGGUAAGGUACCGGCUUAUCACGGCAACGAUGCAUAGCCGAGCUGAGAGGGGGUACGGGCACUCAGAAGCUGAGCGGCGACCCUGGGUCUGAGGUGAGGCAGCAGCUGGUAAGCUACGGAGAUGGGCGGAAGACUGACCAAUGAGCGCAGGGUGAAUGAAGAAAGGCUGCGUGUCGUAAAACGCUGUUAUUAGGGAAGAACAUAUGUGUAAGUAACGGUGCGCAUCUGACCGGAACCGAAACAGAAAGCCACGGCAAACUACGU